UUUUUUCUUCAGCAUUCUAGCUCCCUAAACGCUAGUGGUUGCCGUCCAAGCCUUCUUAACCUAGUAUAUAUGCUAUUUAUGUUAUUUUUGUUCAGUUUGUAUUGAUAAUUUUUCGUCUUUUGUUGUCCCUCUCUUUUCUCCCUACUCUUUCCUUCCUUCUUGUGCCGUCCAAUGUUAUUGUGAUCACCAUAGUUGUGUCAUCUCUCUUCAUCAAUUGUUGUGGCUGUCGUUUUCACUAUUGCUUUCUCCUUCUUUGUUCGUUUUGUUGCUUCCAUUUUCAGCACCUUUGCUGUCCAUUUUAGUCACCAUAGCUGCACCUCAUUGAGCCAAGAAUUAAUCUCUCUUUUACUCUCCAAUGCCGCCCUUGUGUUUCCCUCUUUUCCUCUUGUUUUCCCUUAGUGUUUGCUGCCAUUUUUAAUCGCUUAAACCGUCCCCUUGCUGCCACUUUCCAGCCCAUUUUUUGCCAUUUUUUCUGCGCCAAAAUUGUCCCUUUUUCUGUCCAUAUUAACCCUUUUGCUGCCGUUUAAUCUUCCUUUUGUGCCACACAUCACAGCCCUCAUUUUUGUUGUCAUUUAUUGCAUUGUCGCCCCUUAAACACCCUUUUUGUUGCUGUUUUUUUUCUUCUUAUUAUCGCACCUAUAGGCUGAUUUUAUUCCCUCAUUUUCAUUGAUUAAAUCAGCCCCUAAUCUUAAUCGUUUAGUGUGCAUUUGGGAUUAAGAGAUCUAUCAUCUCGGAUCUAGGAGACAAGAAGUGUAAGUGCUGUUUUUUUUUUUCAAAUCUAGUGCUGAAUUCCUUUCUUUUGAUUUUUUGCUUUGGUUGAAUGCUUCUAAGAUUUUAAUUGGAUGGUAAUCUGAAGUUGAUAUCACGGGGGAAGUGCCUGCUUCCUCAAUCCCCUGUAUAAGCUCACAACAUGAGAACAUACUCUGUUGUGGUAAGUGAAAAUUUCCAACCUUGUAGCCUCGAAAAACAUGGACAAGGGCAAGGCCCCUGUUAUUGAAUAGGCGAGCAGAUAUGGAAAGAUUCUUGAGGAUAAUUCAGAUGACUUGUUUGAUGAGUCUAAAACCAUCACAGAUUCUAGCUUUGGAGAAGACAUUUCCUUGAAGAGCAUGAUGAAAGCUAAUACCAAGUGUCCUAAUAUACCACUUUCUACAAGCUAGAGAAACAAGAAGUUAAAGGAAGCUAGGGUUCCAAAAUUUCUUGCUAAAGCUAUUGAGGCUGGUAGGACCAGGAAGAAAGGAUAUUGGAGAUGAGGUACAAGGUAUUUCUGGGUGUUGCAUGUUUGAAGAGGUAUGACUCUUAUCAAAAAUAAUUUUAAAGAACAGAACGUAGAGGAAAAUAGUUUUGUCGAUCAUGGUAUAUAUGUAAUUCUUGAAAAUUAUGCCUUAGAGACACUGUAAGCUUUGUAAAGCACUAUGUUCGCAAUGUGGUUACGAAUUUUUAUGCUAAUUUGCUUGGUAGUAUUUUU
RNAcentral lists this long non-coding RNA (1465 nucleotides) under Gossypium barbadense (sea-island cotton). RNAcentral's name for it is "long non-coding RNA (GBAR_LNC008244)". Lineage: Eukaryota; Viridiplantae; Streptophyta; Magnoliopsida; Malvales; Malvaceae. The record is from RNAcentral.